CAGCUCAGAACUGGUACG
Molecule: small nuclear RNA, 18 nt
Filed under: Arabidopsis thaliana (thale cress)
Lineage: Eukaryota; Viridiplantae; Streptophyta; Magnoliopsida; Brassicales; Brassicaceae
Description: snRNA_00191
Source: RNAcentral